CUUGCUCCCGGAUGUUAGCGGCGGACGGGUGAGUAACACGUGGGUAACCUGCCUGUAAGACUGGGAUAACUCCGGGAAACCGGAGCUAAUACCGGAUAGUUCCUUGAACCGCAUGGUUCAAGGAUGAAAGACGGUUUCGGCUGUCACUUACAGAUGGACCCGCGGCGCAUUAGCUAGUUGGUGAGGUAACGGCUCACCAAGGCGACGAUGCGUAGCCGACCUGAGAGGGUGAUCGGCCACACUGGGACUGAGACACGGCCCAGACUCCUACGGGAGGCAGCAGUAGGGAAUCUUCCGCAAUGGACGAAAGUCUGACGGAGCAACGCCGCGUGAGUGAUGAAGGUUUUCGGAUCGUAAAGCUCUGUUGU
This 368-nucleotide ribosomal RNA is filed under the name Bacillus altitudinis. RNAcentral describes it as "bacterial SSU rRNA". It matches the Rfam family "Bacterial small subunit ribosomal RNA", at positions 79 to 439 of the family's 1533-position model. The record is from RNAcentral. Lineage: Bacteria; Bacillati; Bacillota; Bacilli; Caryophanales; Bacillaceae.